This 253-nucleotide ribosomal RNA is filed under the name uncultured bacterium. RNAcentral's name for it is "partial 16S ribosomal RNA". It matches the Rfam family "Bacterial small subunit ribosomal RNA", at positions 524 to 776 of the family's 1533-position model. The record is from RNAcentral.
UACGUAGGGGGCAAGCGUUGUCCGGAUUUAUUGGGCGUAAAGAGCGUGUAGGCGGCCAGGUAGGUCCGUUGUGAAAACUCGAGGCUCAACCUCGAGACGUCGGCGGAAACCCUCUGGCUAGAGUCCGGAAGAGGAGAGUGGAAUUCCUGGUGUAGCGGUGAAAUGCGCAGAUAUCAGGAAGAACACCCGUGGCGAAGGCGGCUCUCUGGAACGCAACUGACGCUGAGACGCGAAAGCGUGGGGAGCAAACAGG